GACGAACGCUGGCGGCGUGGAUUAGGCAUGCAAGUCGGACGGUAGGGCUUUAUCGUAAGAUAGAGUUUGAGAGUGGCGAACGGGUGAGUAACACGUAGGAAUCUACCCUUAAGACGGGGACAACCCAGGGAAACUUGGGCUAAUACCGGAUGAGAGUGCGAGAGAUUGCAUUUAAAAGGAUGGCGAAAGUUGUCGCUUAGGGAUGAGCCUGCGGUCUAUUAGUUAGUUGGUAAGGUAAGAGCUCACCAAGGCGAUGAUAGAUAGGCGGCCUUAACGGGUGGUCGCCCACACUGGGAUUGAGAUACGGCCCAGACUCCUACGGGAGGCAGCAGUCGAGAAUAGUCUACAAUGGCCGGAAGGCUGAUAGUGCGACGCCGCGUGAACGAGGGAGCCCUUCGGGUGUAAAGUUCUUUUCUAUACGAGCAGUGCUAUAUAUAUGGAUAGUAUAUAUAGAGGGAUAGUAGUAUAGGAAUAAGCAACGGCUAACUCCGUGCCAGCAGCCGC
RNAcentral lists this ribosomal RNA (504 nucleotides) under uncultured bacterium. RNAcentral's name for it is "bacterial SSU rRNA". It matches the Rfam family "Bacterial small subunit ribosomal RNA", at positions 28 to 518 of the family's 1533-position model. The record is from RNAcentral.